Syngnathus acus (greater pipefish) is the source of this 103-nucleotide long non-coding RNA. RefSeq lists it as uncharacterized. The record is from RefSeq and is a predicted model, not a curated record. NCBI's taxonomy places the organism in Eukaryota, Metazoa, Chordata, Actinopteri, Syngnathiformes, Syngnathidae. The transcript is spliced from 3 exons.
UAUGAGACAUAUACACCUUUCAGACAUAGCAUUUUGCUCACAUUAAAACAUUCACAUUUUGCACAAUGACUUGUGCUGUAGCUUAAAUACAAAACUUAAAUAC